Pelodiscus sinensis (Chinese soft-shelled turtle) is the source of this 760-nucleotide non-coding RNA. The record is from RefSeq and is a predicted model, not a curated record. NCBI's taxonomy places the organism in Eukaryota, Metazoa, Chordata, Testudines, Trionychidae.
AUUUCCCUUUCUUGGCCAUUUCAUGGGAUGAUCUAAAGCUUUGGCUUCCUUUUCCCUAAUAUGGUUCUUUCUCAGCAAGAUGUGAUACCUCAGCCAAAGUUAAUUGUGUGAUGCUGGUUGUCUAGACACAGGCUGCCUCUCCCUCUCCCCACCUGCUGUUGAUUGUUCUGUCCACUAAAUAAGCAUUUUAUUUAUGGGGGGGGAGGCACAAGCAACAUUAAAAGCUCCGUGGCAGUCUUCAGUUUGGGGAUGGUCCUCUCAUUCAGCCAGGUCUUGACUCUGUCUGGUAAAGUCCAGUGUGUGUCUUUUGUCCCAUGACUGGCGAAAACAGCCUACAAUAUAAGAGCAUGCAGCUACUGAACAGGAGCUUUGAGCUUUCAGUUGGCAUCUAUAUCAAAGUCAACAUGUUCAUUCUCCAAACCUGUGCAGAAGGAAUGAGAUGAUGACAGUGGUGAGCUGUAACAGUUGUAGUAAGGCAUGCAACAACUCACUGGCACACCUUAGUUGGUCCAAAAUGGCGUCCUCCCUGGCGGAUGUGUUUGGUACAUGUGAAGUCACACUGUGGGGUGGCACAUCUCUAGUUCUGAGGAAGAAAAGGAAAAGUGUCCCAAAGACAAACAGUAUUACAUUUGAGGUCCAAGAUCAUAACGGAGGUGGAAGAUUCUGAGCACAUUCCACAAGUUUCCAACUACUUUUGAUGCUUGGUUAUACCAGUCUAAUUACAGCUAUUAUUUAAAGUGGUACACGACACCCCAGCCUG